RNAcentral lists this ribosomal RNA (386 nucleotides) under uncultured bacterium. RNAcentral describes it as "bacterial SSU rRNA". It matches the Rfam family "Bacterial small subunit ribosomal RNA", at positions 28 to 418 of the family's 1533-position model. The record is from RNAcentral.
GACGAACGCUGGCGGCGUGCUUAACACAUGCAAGUCGAACGGUAAGGCCCUUCGGGGUACACGAGUGGCGAACGGGUGAGUAACACGUGGUGAUCUGCCCUGCACUUCGGGAUAAGCCUGGGAAACUGGGUCUAAUACCGGAUAGGACCAUGGACUUCACGGUUUGUGGUGGAAAGCUUUUGCGGUGUGGGAUGGGCCCGCGGCCUAUCAGCUUGUUGGUGGGGUAAUGGCCUACCAAGGCGACGACGGGUUAGCCGGCCUGAGAGGGUGUCCGGCCACACUGGGACUGAGAUACGGCCCAGACUCCUACGGGAGGCAGCAGUGGGGAAUAUUGCACAAUGGGCGCAAGCCUGAUGCAGCGACGCCGCGUGAGGGAUGACGGCCUC